GAGGAUUGUUUGUGACAACAAUACCAAUAAUCCUCACGAUCUGGGUUUCCUGCAGUUGGAGAGGAGGGGGUUACCAGCUUCGACUUGGGGGUGGCCGUCCUGGCUCUGCGGUUACUUGGACUCUCUGAGCCUGGAAAAGCGAUUGGCACAGCACCUGACGUGCAGUAGUCUCUUCACUGAUGAUUGCGGCUGUGACCGUUUCUUGCACUUUACAAGGAUGCCCAGAUGCCCCCGAAGAUCCUGGGCCUCUGUGCAGGGAGCCGGGAGCAGAGAUGACCAAGAUCCAGUCUCUGACCUCAAGGAGCUCAUGGGCUAGUCGGGGAGACAGACCCCCAAACAGACAACCGCGGUAUUUGCUAAAAGCCGUAAUGGAGGCAUGUGCAUCCUGUGUCGAAGCAGAAGAGAACCCGUCCAGCUCUGGGAGGGGCUGGGGAGGCUGCACGUGGAAGGGCUUUUGAGCAGCAUCUUUAAAAAAAUGUUAAUA
Molecule: long non-coding RNA, 484 nt
Filed under: Equus asinus (donkey)
Lineage: Eukaryota; Metazoa; Chordata; Mammalia; Perissodactyla; Equidae
Description: lncRNA (ENSEASG00005030522.1)
Source: RNAcentral